GAUAGCACAGUUGUGUAACUACAACAUCCAUAAACCAGUGUGCUCCAUAUGACAUAGUUAAUGUUUGUAAGGCAUCUAUUGAUGGGGGAAAAAGUCAAGUUGAUAUUUGAUAGUUAAUGUAGUGACCUGAUUUAACAGAGGCUUCAUAACCAACUGACUACUAUGGAGGAGAGCAAUCUACUGAGAGAUGAACAUUAUAAUACUCAUUUUGAUCCUGAUACGUUUAUUAACUCGUAUUAUACUGUUUUAGACGAUACAAUCGAGGAUGGAUUAACACCCUUUGUAUUAAAGGGUCUACACGAUGUCUUUAAAACAGGUAAUGUGAAGGGUACACGACUACUGGACAUUGGAACUGGUCCUGUUCCACAUUCUGUAAUUCCUGCAGUUCCGUUUGUUCAAGAUAUAUACCUAACAGACUUCUCAACGGUUAAUAGAAAAUAUCUGUAUGAUGCUUUGUUUGGAUCUGGUGAACAAGAGUAUUCCAGUAUUUUUAAAUUUUUGGCAAAGUUAAGCGAUAAAAGUCAACCCUGGUCAAAACCUUCUGAUGACUUCAAAGGCAAAGUCUGUGGAAUAUUUCCUUGUGAUCUGUUAAAAGAUGAUAUAUUUGGAACGAGUUACUUCCCCUUGUUUGAUGUCAUCACAACAAGUUUGUGUAUGGAAGUUGCUGCUCCAGAUGUAGGCACGUACGGAACGAUUGCCAAGAAAAUAUCCAAAUAUCUUAAAGUUGGUGGACAUUUGGUUAUUGUUGGUGUACUGGCCGAAAACUAUUAUUUUGUCGGGGAAUAUAAAUUCUUUAACUUAGCUAUUACAGAAGAUGAAGUGAAAUCAUGUUGGGAAGGUGCUGGGUUUUCAAUACACAGCUGGAAUCUUAUGAAACGACCAGACCCAAGUCAAUACUCUGAUUUUGGUGGCGCUUUUGUUAUGCAUUGUUUUAAGGAAUUUUAAUUGGUAAGCAUCAAUCUGAUUAAAUAACAGAUCCUAUUUUGUUUCGUUUUUUUAUACAUGUAGUUCAAAAUUUCUUGUCUUUACUACACUUAGAUCUGGAAGUUGUGUUAUAUUACCGACGUUAUGGUUUCGAUUCCCCGGUUGUACGUGACAAGGUGUAAGGUCGCCUGUCCAACCUCUGGUUUCCCCCCACUGCUAAAGACCCCUAUGCCCAAGCGUAUUAUUGAAAUAAAAUUGAACCAUAUGUUAGUCCCGGAAUGACCUAGUUUGUGUCGAGUGGACGUUAAGCCCCAUUUCUCUCUCUCUCUGCCUCCUACUCUAGAAUACCCACAAGAAUAUUCAUUAAUAUAUUAUGUUUUUAUUGAAUAAGAAUUAAAAGAUAAACACAUAAUUUUAAAAACUUUUAUAUAUCAUGCUAGAUCUACAUAAAAUAUUUAU
This is a long non-coding RNA of Patella vulgata (common limpet), 1383 nucleotides long. RefSeq lists it as uncharacterized. The transcript is spliced from 3 exons. The record is from RefSeq and is a predicted model, not a curated record. NCBI's taxonomy places the organism in Eukaryota, Metazoa, Mollusca, Gastropoda, Patellidae.